This 459-nucleotide ribosomal RNA is filed under the name Escherichia coli. RNAcentral's name for it is "bacterial SSU rRNA". It matches the Rfam family "Bacterial small subunit ribosomal RNA", at positions 928 to 1386 of the family's 1533-position model. Lineage: Bacteria; Pseudomonadati; Pseudomonadota; Gammaproteobacteria; Enterobacterales; Enterobacteriaceae. RNAcentral also lists the same sequence under 1 other name. The record is from RNAcentral.
AGAUAGCUGGAGCUUGUGGUUCCUUCAUUACACGCGUUGCACCUUACCAGGUCUUGACAUCCUCUGACAAUCCUAGAGAUAGGACGUCCCCUUCGGGGGCAGAGUGACAGGUGGUGCAUGGUUGUCGUCAGCUCGUGUCGUGAGAUGUUGGGUUAAGUCCCGCAACGAGCGCAACCCUUGAUCUUAGUUGCCAGCAUUCAGUUGGGCACUCUAAGGUGACUGCCGGUGACAAACCGGAGGAAGGUGGGGAUGACGUCAAAUCAUCAUGCCCCUUAUGACCUGGGCUACACACGUGCUACAAUGGACAGAACAAAGGGCAGCGAAACCGCGAGGUUAAGCCAAUCCCACAAAUCUGUUCUCAGUUCGGAUCGCAGUCUGCAACUCGACUGCGUGAAGCUGGAAUCGCUAGUAAUCGCGGAUCAGCAUGCCGCGGUGAAUACGUUCCCGGGCCUUGUACCA